AAAUUGAAGAGUUUGAUCAUGGCUCAGAUUGAACGCUGGCGGCAGGCCUAACACAUGCAAGUCGAACGGUAACAGGAAACAGCUUGCUGUUUCGCUGACGAGUGGCGGACGGGUGAGUAAUGUCUGGGAAGCUGCCUGAUGGAGGGGGAUAACUACUGGAAACGGUAGCUAAUACCGCAUAAUGUCGCAAGACCAAAGAGGGGGACCUUCGGGCCUCUUGCCAUCGGAUGUGCCCAGAUGGGAUUAGCUAGUAGGUGGGGUAACGGCUCACCUAGGCGACGAUCCCUAGCUGGUCUGAGAGGAUGACCAGCCACACUGGAACUGAGACACGGUCCAGACUCCUACGGGAGGCAGCAGUGGGGAAUAUUGCACAAUGGGCGCAAGCCUGAUGCAGCCAUGCCGCGUGUAUGAAGAAGGCCUUCGGGUUGUAAAGUACUUUCAGCGGGGAGGAAGGGAGUAAAGUUAAUACCUUUGCUCAUUGACGUUACCCGCAGAAGAAGCACCGGCUAACUCCGUGCCAGCAGCCGCGGUAAUACGGAGGGUGCAAGCGUUAAUCGGAAUUACUGGGCGUAAAGCGCACGCAGGCGGUUUGUUAAGUCAGAUGUGAAAUCCCCGGGCUCAACCUGGGAACUGCAUCUGAUACUGGCAAGCUUGAGUCUCGUAGAGGGGGGUAGAAUUCCAGGUGUAGCGGUGAAAUGCGUAGAGAUCUGGAGGAAUACCGGUGGCGAAGGCGGCCCCCUGGACGAAGACUGACGCUCAGGUGCGAAAGCGUGGGGAGCAAACAGGAUUAGAUACCCUGGUAGUCCACGCCGUAAACGAUGUCGACUUGGAGGUUGUGCCCUUGAGGCGUGGCUUCCGGAGCUAACGCGUUAAGUCGACCGCCUGGGGAGUACGGCCGCAAGGUUAAAACUCAAAUGAAUUGACGGGGGCCCGCACAAGCGGUGGAGCAUGUGGUUUAAUUCGAUGCAACGCGAAGAACCUUACCUGGUCUUGACAUCCACGGAAGUUUUCAGAGAUGAGAAUGUGCCUUCGGGAACCGUGAGACAGGUGCUGCAUGGCUGUCGUCAGCUCGUGUUGUGAAAUGUUGGGUUAAGUCCCGCAACGAGCGCAACCCUUAUCCUUUGUUGCCAGCGGUCCGGCCGGGAACUCAAAGGAGACUGCCAGUGAUAAACUGGAGGAAGGUGGGGAUGACGUCAAGUCAUCAUGGCCCUUACGACCAGGGCUACACACGUGCUACAAUGGCGCAUACAAAGAGAAGCGACCUCGCGAGAGCAAGCGGACCUCAUAAAGUGCGUCGUAGUCCGGAUUGGAGUCUGCAACUCGACUCCAUGAAGUCGGAAUCGCUAGUAAUCGUGGAUCAGAAUGCCACGGUGAAUACGUUCCCGGGCCUUGUACACACCGCCCGUCACACCAUGGGAGUGGGUUGCAAAAGAAGUAGGUAGCUUAACCUUCGGGAGGGCGCUUACCACUUUGUGAUUCAUGACUGGGGUGAAGUCGUAACAAGGUAACCGUAGGGGAACCUGCGGUUGGAUCACCUCCUUACCUUAAAGAAGC
RNAcentral lists this ribosomal RNA (1554 nucleotides) under Escherichia coli. Its description in RNAcentral is "bacterial SSU rRNA". It matches the Rfam family "Bacterial small subunit ribosomal RNA". Lineage: Bacteria; Pseudomonadati; Pseudomonadota; Gammaproteobacteria; Enterobacterales; Enterobacteriaceae. The record is from RNAcentral.